GACGAACGCUGGCGGCGUGCUUAACACAUGCAAGUCGAACGGAAAGGCCCUUCGGGGUACUCGAGUGGCGAACGGGUGAGUAACACGUGGGUGAUCUUCCCUGCACUUUGGGAUAAGCCUGGGAAACUGGGUCUAAUACCGAAUAGGACCACGCGCUUCAUGGUUUGUGGUGGAAAGCUUUUGCGGUGUGGGAUGGGCCCGCGGCCUAUCAGCUUGUUGUUGGGGUAAUGGCCUACCAAGGCGACGACGGGUAGCCGGCCUGAGAGGGUGACCGGCCACACUGGGACUGAGAGACGGCCCAGACGGCUACGGGAGGCAGCAGUGGGGAAUAUUGCACAAUGGGCGCAAGCCUGAUGCAGCGACGCCGCGUGAGGGAUGACGGCCUUCGGGUUGUAAACCUCUUUAAAUAGGGACGAAGCGAAAGUGACGGUACCUAGAGAAGAAGCACCGGCCAACUACGUG
RNAcentral lists this ribosomal RNA (462 nucleotides) under uncultured bacterium. Its description in RNAcentral is "partial 16S ribosomal RNA". It matches the Rfam family "Bacterial small subunit ribosomal RNA", at positions 28 to 507 of the family's 1533-position model. The record is from RNAcentral.